Non-coding RNA from Potamilus streckersoni, 67 nucleotides. The record is from the annotation of a GenBank genome assembly. Lineage: Eukaryota; Metazoa; Mollusca; Bivalvia; Unionida; Unionidae.
GUGGCCUGGUUGUUAGAGCAUCCGCCUCGGAUGCGGGAGGUCGCGGGUUCGAACCCCGACAGAGUCA